This 983-nucleotide long non-coding RNA is filed under the name Oryctolagus cuniculus (rabbit). Its description in RNAcentral is "lncRNA (ENSOCUG00000034965.1)". Lineage: Eukaryota; Metazoa; Chordata; Mammalia; Lagomorpha; Leporidae. The record is from RNAcentral.
CUUCCUCCGCGAGAAAUCCACCACGGCUUCCCGGAAGGGUGCAAGGGCGAGGGCGCGGGGACAGCCGCCGAGAACUAGGCCCGGGCCCCGCCGAGCCCCUUGGCCCCGCGUCCCCACGCGCCCGGCCCGCCCAGCCUCGCGCGCCCCGGACGGCGGGCCCCGGAGCGCGUGCGCGCACGUAGGCACGCACACGCACACGCAUGCGCACUCCACACGCACACCGACGCACGCCGCCUUCCGCCCGGAACUCACGCCGGCGUUGCUGUGACGGCGAAGCCGCGUGGAAGUUCCCGCGUGUGGAUCGCCGGGGAAGUUUUAUCUGUCUCUCUCUCUCUCCCCUUCACCUCCUCUCUCUGUGUCUGCCAGUUUCAGUAGCAAUCAUCUUCCGACGGAAAGCCCUUGCCCUCGAGGCUGUGUUCAGGGUCCCUUGCGGUGGGGACUUCCGGGGUGGCGGGCAGAGACCCCCUUCCCCGCCCCAGGGGGGUCGUCUCUCCCCUCCGAGCCGGGAAGGGCCGGGAUCGCACCAGCAUGCCCGCCAGGGAAGAGGCGAUUCUGCAUCUCGCAGCGCUGAUGGCGUCGCCCGCGUCCCGGGCGUGACGGGACACAGCCCUCAGCCGUGCGCGCACGGAAAUCAAUCAAUACUAUGCAAAGCGGGCAGCCGCCCCGCCGCGCUCCUCCGGCGAGAGGGAGGCCCCAAUCAGCAGCACAAAGCCGGCCCCCGCCGGGCUCCCGCCCUCCGCAGAGGCGCGGCUGCGGGCCGCUGCGGGACACUCUUCACCUUCCAAGUAGCACACACGCGCGCCGCGCGGGCCCGGCUCCAGCUCCGCUUUGGCACGUUGCGCUCCGCUGGCAUGGCUGCUUGGUCCACCCCGAUGCUAGUAGGAGCUGUCCGGGGCUGGGGGGGAGUAGCUCGGGGUCUCCACACGAUGCCUAGAGAAUGCUGCAGUCUGCACAUUAGACGCUUUUUAGAAGUUUUGAAAUGA